RNAcentral lists this ribosomal RNA (1032 nucleotides) under Salmonella enterica. Its description in RNAcentral is "partial 16S ribosomal RNA". It matches the Rfam family "Bacterial small subunit ribosomal RNA", at positions 1 to 1027 of the family's 1533-position model. RNAcentral also lists the same sequence under 1 other name. The record is from RNAcentral. Lineage: Bacteria; Pseudomonadati; Pseudomonadota; Gammaproteobacteria; Enterobacterales; Enterobacteriaceae.
GAAGAGUUUGAUCAUGGCUCAGAUUGAACGCUGGCGGCAGGCCUAACACAUGCAAGUCGAACGGUAACAGGAAGCAGCUUGCUGCUUUGCUGACGAGUGGCGGACGGGUGAGUAAUGUCUGGGAAACUGCCUGAUGGAGGGGGAUAACUACUGGAAACGGUGGCUAAUACCGCAUAACGUCGCAAGACCAAAGAGGGGGACCUUCGGGCCUCUUGCCAUCAGAUGUGCCCAGAUGGGAUUAGCUUGUUGGUGAGGUAACGGCUCACCAAGGCGACGAUCCCUAGCUGGUCUGAGAGGAUGACCAGCCACACUGGAACUGAGACACGGUCCAGACUCCUACGGGAGGCAGCAGUGGGGAAUAUUGCACAAUGGGCGCAAGCCUGAUGCAGCCAUGCCGCGUGUAUGAAGAAGGCCUUCGGGUUGUAAAGUACUUUCAGCGGGGAGGAAGGUGUUGUGGUUAAUAACCGCAGCAAUUGACGUUACCCGCAGAAGAAGCACCGGCUAACUCCGUGCCAGCAGCCGCGGUAAUACGGAGGGUGCAAGCGUUAAUCGGAAUUACUGGGCGUAAAGCGCACGCAGGCGGUCUGUCAAGUCGGAUGUGAAAUCCCCGGGCUCAACCUGGGAACUGCAUUCGAAACUGGCAGGCUUGAGUCUUGUAGAGGGGGGUAGAAUUCCAGGUGUAGCGGUGAAAUGCGUAGAGAUCUGGAGGAAUACCGGUGGCGAAGGCGGCCCCCUGGACAAAGACUGACGCUCAGGUGCGAAAGCGUGGGGAGCAAACAGGAUUAGAUACCCUGGUAGUCCACGCCGUAAACGAUGUCUACUUGGAGGUUGUGCCCUUGAGGCGUGGCUUCCGGAGCUAACGCGUUAAGUAGACCGCCUGGGGAGUACGGCCGCAAGGUUAAAACUCAAAUGAAUUGACGGGGGCCCGCACAAGCGGUGGAGCAUGUGGUUUAAUUCGAUGCAACGCGAAGAACCUUACCUGGUCUUGACAUCCACAGAACAUUCCAGAGAUGGAUUGGUGCCUUCGGGAAC